This 427-nucleotide ribosomal RNA is filed under the name uncultured archaeon. RNAcentral describes it as "bacterial SSU rRNA". It matches the Rfam family "Archaeal small subunit ribosomal RNA", at positions 147 to 575 of the family's 1478-position model. The record is from RNAcentral.
UAAUACCGGAUAGAUCAAAGAUACUGGAAUGUUCUCUGGUCUAAAACUCUGGUGCCCAAGGAUGGGUCUGCGGCCUAUCAGGUAGUAGUGGGUGUAACGUACCUACUAGCCUACGACGGGUAAGGGUUGUGAGAGCAAGAGCCCUGAGAUGGAUUCUGAGACAUGAAUCCAGGCCCUACGGGGUGCAGCAGGCGCGAAAACUUUACACUGCGGGAAACCGCGAUAAGGGGACCCCGAGUGCCAGCACCUAGUGCUGGCUGUCCAGCUGUCCAAAUAACAGUUGUUAGCAAGGGCCGGGCAAGACCGGUGCCAGCCGCCGCGGUAACACCGGCGGCCCGAGUGGUAACCGAUUUUAUUGGGUUUAAAGGGUCCGUAGCCGGCCUGUUAAGUCUCUUGGGAAAUCUGGCGGCUCAAUCGUCAGGCGUCC